UACGUAGGUGGCAAGCGUUGUCCGGAAUUAUUGGGCGUAAAGCGCGCGCAGGCGGUCCUUUAAGUCUGAUGUGAAAGCCCACGGUUCAACCGUGGAGGGUCAUUGGAAACUGGGGGACUUGAGUACAGAAGAGAAGAGUGGAAUUCCACGUGUAGCGGUGAAAUGCGUAGAGAUGUGGAGGAACACCAGUGGCGAAGGCGACUCUUUGGUCUGUAACUGACGCUGAGGCGCGAAAGCGUGGGGAGCAAACAGG
RNAcentral lists this ribosomal RNA (253 nucleotides) under uncultured bacterium. Its description in RNAcentral is "partial 16S ribosomal RNA". It matches the Rfam family "Bacterial small subunit ribosomal RNA", at positions 524 to 776 of the family's 1533-position model. The record is from RNAcentral.